Molecule: ribosomal RNA, 34 nt
Filed under: uncultured fungus
Lineage: Eukaryota; Fungi
Description: 18S ribosomal RNA
Source: RNAcentral
UUCGUAGGUGAACCUGCGGAAGGAUCAUUACUGA